Molecule: long non-coding RNA, 511 nt
Organism: Oreochromis niloticus (Nile tilapia)
Lineage: Eukaryota; Metazoa; Chordata; Actinopteri; Cichliformes; Cichlidae
Exons: 2
Source: RefSeq, a predicted model, not a curated record
AUCUAAAAUACCAACACUGCUAUUGGUAUUGGAUACUAGAUAGACAGAUAGAUUUUUUGCAGAUCUAUUUAUUACAUCAGAAAUUAGGAAAAUGGAAAAAUACACUCAGUCUUGUUUCCUCAAAUUUAGACAGUGGAAAUUCCCUGCUUCAAAUCAUUUCACAGUGUAACGGGUACUUAAGGAACACAGAGGAGACACAUACACACAGUAGCAUCAGCAGAAAGAGAAACAUUCAAUGUUGCAGUGCACUGCAAAGAAUUACUCAGCUACAUGUUAACAGUCAGAACAGGGACCACAAGCAUUUUAAGUCAUUCUCAGUCCAGUCCUUGGAGCUAACCAUGUUCAGAGGUAAACAUGUUCAUGUUUGUUUUGUUUAACCCAUUAAAACUGACCUAUGAAUCAUUCAAGCACAAAAGCUUCUAAGAAUGUAUAACAAUCAUACCCAUCCCUCCACAGGUCCUCAAGGUAUGUUUUCACCAUCAUCAAAAUGCCAUCAAACCACACCCAGAAA